Molecule: ribosomal RNA, 468 nt
Filed under: uncultured bacterium
Lineage: Bacteria
Description: partial 16S ribosomal RNA
Rfam family: Bacterial small subunit ribosomal RNA
Source: RNAcentral
GACGAACGCUGGCGGCGUGCUUAACACAUGCAAGUCGAACGGAAAGGCCCUGCUUUUGUGGGGUGCUCGAGUGGCGAACGGGUGAGUAACACGUGAGUAACCUGCCCUUGACUUUGGGAUAACUUCAGGAAACUGGGGCUAAUACCGGAUAGGAGCUCCUGCUGCAUGGUGGUGGUUGGAAAGUUUCGGCGGUUGGGGAUGGACUCGCGGCUUAUCAGCUUGUUUGUGGGGUAGUGGCUUACCAAGGCUUUGACGGGUAGCCGGCCUGAGAGGGUGACCGGCCACAUUGGGACUGAGGUACGGCCCAGACUCCUACGGGAGGCAGCAGUGGGGAAUAUUGCACAAUGGGCGGAAGCCUGAUGCAGCAACGCCGCGUGCGGGAUGACGGCCUUCGGGUUGUAAACCGCUUUCGCCUGUGACGAAGCGUGAGUGACGGUAAUGGGUAAAGAAGCACCGGCUAACUACGUG